UACGGGGGGGGCAAGCGUUGUUCGGAAUUACUAGGCGUAAAGGGCUCGUAGGCGGCCAACUAAGUCAGACGUGAAAUCCCUCGGCUUAACCGGGGAACUGCGUCUGAUACUAUGGCUUGAGUUUGGGAGAGGGAUGCGGAAUUCCAGGUGUAGCGGUGAAAUGCGUAGAUAUCUGGAGGAACACCGGUGGCGAAGGCGGCAUCCUGGACCAACACUGACGCUGAGUGAGCGAAAGCCAGGGGAGCAAACGGG
This 252-nucleotide ribosomal RNA is filed under the name uncultured bacterium. RNAcentral describes it as "partial 16S ribosomal RNA". It matches the Rfam family "Bacterial small subunit ribosomal RNA", at positions 524 to 776 of the family's 1533-position model. The record is from RNAcentral.